CAGUCGAACGAAGCACUUUAUUUGAUUUCUUCGGAAUGAAGAUUUUGUGACUGAGUGGCGGACGGGUGAGUAACGCGUGGGUAACCUGCCUCAUACAGGGGGAUAACAGUUGGAAACGACUGCUAAUACCGCAUAAGCGCACGGGGUCGCAUGACCUGGUGUGAAAAACUCCGGUGGUAUGAGAUGGACCCGCGUCUGAUUAGCCAGUUGGUGGGGUAACGGCCUACCAAAGCGACGAUCAGUAGCCGACCUGAGAGGGUGACCGGCCACAUUGGGACUGAGACACGGCCCAAACUCCUACGGGAGGCAGCAGUGGGGAAUAUUGCACAAUGGGGGAAACCCUGAUGCAGCGACGCCGCGUGAGCGAAGAAGUAUUUCGGUAUGUAAAGCUCUAUCAGCAGGGAAGAAGAAAUGACGGUACCUGACUAAGAAGCACCGGCUAAAUACGUGCCAGCAGCCGCGGUAAUACGUAUGGUGCAAGCGUUAUCCGGAUUUACUGGGUGUAAAGGGAGCGCAGGCGGUACGGCAAGUCUGAUGUGAAAGCCCGGGGCUCAACCCCGGUACUGCAUUGGAAACUGUCGGACUAGAGUGUCGGAGGGGUAAGUGGAAUUCCUAGUGUAGCGGUGAAAUGCGUAGAUAUUAGGAGGAACACCAGUGGCGAAGGCGGCUUACUGGACGAUUACUGACGCUGAGGCUCGAAAGCGUGGGGAGCAAACAGGAUUAGAUACCCUGGUAGUCCACGCCG
This 745-nucleotide ribosomal RNA is filed under the name uncultured bacterium. Its description in RNAcentral is "bacterial SSU rRNA". It matches the Rfam family "Bacterial small subunit ribosomal RNA", at positions 59 to 802 of the family's 1533-position model. The record is from RNAcentral.